GAUUUCAACAAUGAAGCGAGUGGCGAACUGGUGAGUAACACGUGGGAAAUCUGCCCAGAAGCAGGGGAUAACACUUGGAAACAGGUGCUAAUACCGUAUAACAACAAAAUCCGCAUGGAUUUUGUUUGAAAGGUGGCUUCGGCUAUCACUUCUGGAUGAUCCCGCGGCGUAUUAGUUAGUUGGUGAGGUAAAGGCCCACCAAGACGAUGAUACGUAGCCGACCUGAGAGGGUAAUCGGCCACAUUGGGACUGAGACACGGCCCAAACUCCUACGGGAGGCAGCAGUAGGGAAUCUUCCACAAUGGACGAAAGUCUGAUGGAGCAAUGCCGCGUGAGUGAAGAAGGGUUUCGGCUCGUAAAACUCUGUUGUUAAAGAAGAACACCUUUGAGAGUAACUGUUCAAGGGUUGACGGUAUUUAACCAGAAAGCCACGGCUAACUACGUGCCAGCAGCCGCGGUAAUACGUAGGUGGCAAGCGUUGUCCGGAUUUAUUGGGCGUAAAGCGAGCGCAGGCGGUUUUUUAAGUCUGAUGUGAAAGCCUUCGGCUUAACCGGAGAAGUGCAUCGGAAACUGGGAGACUUGAGUGCAGAAGAGGACAGUGGAACUCCAUGUGUAGCGGUGGAAUGCGUAGAUAUAUGGAAGAACACCAGUGGCGAAGGCGGCUGUCUAGUCUGUAACUGACGCUGAGGCUCGAAAGCAUGGGUAGCGAACAGGAUUAGAUACCCUGGUAGUCCAUGCCGUAAACGAUGAGUGCUAAGUGUUGGAGGGUUUCCGCCCUUCAGUGCUGCAGCUAACGCAUUAAGCACUCCGCCUGGGGAGUACGACCGCAAGGUUGAAACUCAAAGGAAUUGACGGGGGCCCGCACAAGCGGUGGAGCAUGUGGUUUAAUUCGAAGCUACGCGAAGAACCUUACCAGGUCUUGACAUCUUCUGCCAAUCUUAGAGAUAAGACGUUCCCUUCGGGGACAGAAUGACAGGUGGUGCAUGGUUGUCGUCAGCUCGUGUCGUGAGAUGUUGGGUUAAGUCCCGCAACGAGCGCAACCCUUAUUAUCAGUUGCCAGCAUUCAGUUGGGCACUCUGGUGAGACUGCCGGUGACAAACCGGAGGAAGGUGGGGAUGACGUCAAAUCAUCAUGCCCCUUAUGACCUGGGCUACACACGUGCUACAAUGGACGGUACAACGAGUCGCGAAGUCGUGAGGCUAAGCUAAUCUCUUAAAGCCGUUCUCAGUUCGGAUUGUAG
This 1240-nucleotide ribosomal RNA is filed under the name Levilactobacillus brevis. RNAcentral describes it as "bacterial SSU rRNA". It matches the Rfam family "Bacterial small subunit ribosomal RNA", at positions 72 to 1303 of the family's 1533-position model. Lineage: Bacteria; Bacillati; Bacillota; Bacilli; Lactobacillales; Lactobacillaceae. The record is from RNAcentral.